CCAAUAGCGUAUAUUAAAGUUGUUGCAGUUAAAAAGCUCGUAGUUGAAUUUCGAGAUCAAUUUUCUUGGUCAUACCUUUGUAUGUACUGGUCUUAUUGAUUUCUCCCUUCUGAUGAACCAUGAUGUCAUUAAUUUGGUGUUAUGGGGAAUCAGGACUAUUACUUUGAAAAAAUUAGAGUGUUUAAAGCAGGCUCACGCUUGAAUACAUUAGCAUGGAAUAAUGAAAUAGGACGUUUGAUUCUAUUUUGUUGGUUUCUAGGAUUGACGUAAUGAUUAAUAGGGAUAGUUGGGGGCAUUAGUAUUCAAUUGUCAGAGGUGAAAUUCUUGGAUUUAUUGAAGACUAACUACUGCGAAAGCAUUUGCCAAAGAUGUUUUCAUUAAUCAAGAACGAAAGUUAGGGGAUCGAAGACGAUCAGAUACCGUCGUAGUCUUAACCAUAAACUAUGCCGACUAGGAAUCGGAUGAUGUUAAUUUUUUAAUGACUCAUUCGGCGCCUUAC
Molecule: ribosomal RNA, 499 nt
Filed under: uncultured Glomeromycotina
Lineage: Eukaryota; Fungi; Glomeromycota
Description: partial small subunit ribosomal RNA
Rfam family: Eukaryotic small subunit ribosomal RNA
Source: RNAcentral